This 24-nucleotide non-coding RNA is filed under the name Arabidopsis thaliana (thale cress). Lineage: Eukaryota; Viridiplantae; Streptophyta; Magnoliopsida; Brassicales; Brassicaceae. The record is from RNAcentral.
AGACACAUAUGAGAUGGUCAAGAA